Molecule: ribosomal RNA, 529 nt
Filed under: uncultured Candidatus Planktophila sp.
Lineage: Bacteria; Bacillati; Actinomycetota; Actinomycetes; Candidatus Nanopelagicales; Candidatus Nanopelagicaceae
Description: bacterial SSU rRNA
Rfam family: Bacterial small subunit ribosomal RNA
Source: RNAcentral
GUGGGGAAUAUUGGGCAAUGGAGGAAACUCUGACCCAGCGACGCCGCGUGCGGGAUGAAGGCCUUCGGGUUGUAAACCGCUUUCAGCAGGGAAGAAGCGAAAGUGACGGUACCUGCAGAAGAAGCACCGGCUAACUAUGUGCCAGCAGCCGCGGUAAUACAUAGGGUGCAAGCGUUGUCCGGAAUUAUUGGGCGUAAAGAGCUCGUAGGUGGUUUGUUACGUCGGAUGUGAAACUCUGGGGCUUAACCUCAGACCUGCAUUCGAUACGGGCAAGCUUGAGUAUGGUAGGGGAGACUGGAAUUCCUGGUGUAGCGGUGGAAUGCGCAGAUAUCAGGAGGAACACCAAUGGCGAAGGCAGGUCUCUGGGCCAUUACUGACACUGAGGAGCGAAAGCGUGGGGAGCGAACAGGAUUAGAUACCCUGGUAGUCCACGCCGUAAACGGUGGGCACUAGUUGUGGGAACCUUCCACGGUUUCUGCGACGCAGCUAACGCAUUAAGUGCCCCGCCUGGGGAGUACGAUCGCAAGAU